Long non-coding RNA from Panicum virgatum (switchgrass), 1228 nucleotides. RefSeq lists it as uncharacterized. NCBI's taxonomy places the organism in Eukaryota, Viridiplantae, Streptophyta, Magnoliopsida, Poales, Poaceae. The transcript has 2 exons. The record is from RefSeq and is a predicted model, not a curated record.
CAUGUGUUCUUUGCCGUGGGGUCAUGCGGUCCCAUUUACCCUCAACCCAUCCCUCUUGUAGUCUUGUGCUCGUGCCCCCGGAGAGGAGGCGGCGGCGGCGGCGGCGGCGACCGAAGCAGCGGAGUGGAAGGCAGGGCCGUGGGGUGUCUUCUCAGCGGCCGCGCCUCCGGCGUGUCGUUGGCUGCCCUAUGGCCGUGGCCGUCGUCUUGUGCUGGCGGUUGCACCCGGCGGCGGCCGGGAAGACUCGUCUGCAGUGGGAGGUGCGGGCGAGGGUGUGGGUGACCUACUGGCCCAACAAGAAGCGGACGCCGCCGCUGCACACGGAGACGAGGAUGCUUGAGGUCAGGGAGCUGCUGCAGCUCACCCUAGCAUAGUAGGCAAAACAUUCCAUCUGCUUGACCGCUCGGAUGCGCCCCGCCGGCGGCGGCAUCCACUUCCGAUCCGCCCCACCGCCGUCACCAUUUGUGCCGCCGCUGCCGCCAUCCAAUUCCGCCCCACCGCAGUCACCAUUAACGCCACUGCCGCCGGUCGCUAGCAGAUCCACCACUCUCGUUGCCAGCGGAUCUGCAGGCUUCUUGUCUCAUCCCCCCUCUUGUCGCCGUCGAGUCUUCCAACCCCAACCUCAAGAACAGCAUUGAAUCAACGACGACGGCAGCUGCGAUGGUGUGCGCCUAGGUGUGAGAUCUUCCUUAAUAACGAAUGAAUUAGAUGAAGAUGUUUCUCCUACUGAAUUUGUUGGUAUUUGAGAUGUUGGGGCAAAGAACCUCGGGAAGGUCAUCAUGCCGGACAACUGAAGGAGGGCGCCAGCAACACAAACGAGAAUAACAGGCCCUCGGUGGUGGAAUCCAAAACUGAGAACACUAAAGAAUAAGUCACAAUGGAAACGUGGUUUGCUUUCUCUUGGCUUUCCAAGAAACAAGCACUUUGGCUUUGCAUUCCUAGGACUUUACCUAGCUGUCUGUUCAAAGGAGUGAGUUGCCACUAUCUUUACCUUGGCUCCAUGUAUUUUGUUCAGCUAGCUUCAUCUUGUGAUCACCAGUUAUCUUUUUAGAGAUUCAUCCUCUCAUAACCAUCUCUAAUUUGUCAAUCAUGUUGUUGGUGUCUAGACUCGGUGGUCCGGCACCAACUAGUGAUGCUGCUGUGUGUUCCUACCCUAAAUGGUUGAUGUAAGAGGUAACACAUGAACGCAAGGGUUUAUCCUGAUUCCGGCCACGGGGCCGUACGUCUA